UGCGUAGGCGGGCUAAUAAGUCAGUGGUGAAAUCCUGCAGCUUAACUGUAGAACUGUUAUUGAUACUGGUUUUCUUGAAUAUAGUUGAGGUAGGCGGAAUGUGUAAUGUAGCGGUGAAAUGCUUAGAUAUUACACAGAACACCGAUUGCGAAGGCAGCUUACUAAGCUAUGAUUGACGCUGAGGUACGAAAGCGUGGGGAGCGAACAGGAUUAGAUACCCUGGUAGUCC
RNAcentral lists this ribosomal RNA (229 nucleotides) under uncultured bacterium. RNAcentral describes it as "partial 16S ribosomal RNA". It matches the Rfam family "Bacterial small subunit ribosomal RNA", at positions 568 to 796 of the family's 1533-position model. The record is from RNAcentral.